AUCGANGAAGAACGCAGCGAAAUGCGAUAAGUAGUGUGAAUUGCAGAAUUCAGUGAAUCAUCGAAUCUUUGAACGCACAUUGCGCCCCUUGGUAUUCCAUGGGGCAUGCCUGUUCGAGCGUCAUUUGUACUCUCAAGCCUUGCUUGGUGUUGGGUGCUUGUCUUUGCUUUGCGUAGACUCUCCCUAAAUACAUUGGCAGCCGAUAUAUUGGUUUGAAGCGCAGCACAAUUGCUAUUCAGGCUUGUUGUAUCAGCAUCCACAAAGAAUGAUAACACUUUUGACCUCGGAUCAGGUAGGGAUACCCGCUGAACUUAAGCAUAUCAAUAAGCGGAGGAAAAGAAACCAACAGGGAUUGCCCUAGUAACGGCGAGUGAAGCGGCAACAGCUCAAAUUUGAAAUCUGGCUCUUUCAGGGUCCGAGUUGUAAUUUGCAGAGGGCGCUUUGGCAUUGGCAGCGGUCCAAGUUCUUUGGAACAGGACGUCACAGAGGGUGAGAAUCCCGUACGUGGUCGCUAUCCUUUGCCGUGUAAAGCCCCUUCGACGAGUCGAGUUGUUUGGGAAUGCAGCUCUAAAUGGGAGGUAAAUUUCUUCUAAAGCUAAAUACUGGCCAGAGACCGAUAGCGCACAAGUAGAGUGAUCGAAAGAUGAAAAGCACUUUGGAAAGAGAGUCAAAUAGCACGUGAAAUUGUUGAAAGGGAAGCGCUUGCAGCCAGACUUGCCUGUAGUUGCUUAUCCGGACUUUUGUCCGGUGCACUCUUCUGCGGGCAGGCCAGCAUCAGUUUGGGCAGUUNGGAUAAAGGUCUCUGUCAUGUACCUCUCUUCGGGGAGGCCUUAUAGGGGAGACGACAUGCAACUAGCCUGGACUGAGGUCCNCGCAUCUGCUAGNAUGCUGGCGUAAUGGCUGUAAGCGGCCCSNCUUGAAACMCGG
Molecule: ribosomal RNA, 927 nt
Filed under: uncultured Ascomycota
Lineage: Eukaryota; Fungi; Ascomycota
Description: eukaryotic LSU rRNA
Rfam family: Eukaryotic large subunit ribosomal RNA (bases 279-927)
Source: RNAcentral